RNAcentral lists this ribosomal RNA (206 nucleotides) under uncultured bacterium. RNAcentral describes it as "partial 16S ribosomal RNA". It matches the Rfam family "Bacterial small subunit ribosomal RNA", at positions 568 to 774 of the family's 1533-position model. The record is from RNAcentral.
UGCGUAGGUGGUUCGUUGUGUCUGUGGUGAAAGCCCCGGGCUUAACCUGGGAAUGGCCAUGGAAACUGGCGAGCUGGAGUGUGGCAGAGGGGGGUGGAAUUCCGCGUGUAGCAGUGAAAUGCGUAGAGAUGCGGAGGAACACCGAUGGCGAAGGCAGCCCCCUGGGCUAACACUGACGCUGAGGCACGAAAGCGUGGGAGCAAACA